GAUGAACGCUGGCGGCGUGCCUAAUACAUGCAAGUCGAGCGAACAGACGAGGAGCUUGCUCCUCUGACGUUAGCGGCGGACGGGUGAGUAACACGUGGAUAACCUACCUAUAAGACUGGGAUAACUUCGGGAAAACGGAGCUAAUACCGGAUAAUAUAUUGAACCGCAUGGGUCAAUAGUGAAAGACGGUUUUGCUGUCACUUAUAGAUGGAUCCGCGCCGCAUUAGCUAGUUGGUAAGGUAACGGCUUACCAAGGCAACGAUGCGUAGCCGACCUGAGAGGGUGAUCGGCCACACUGGAACUGAGACACGGUCCAGACUCCUACGGGAGGCAGCAGUAGGGAAUCUUCCGCAAUGGGCGAAAGCCUGACGGAGCAACGCCGCGUGAGUGAUGAAGGUCUUCGGAUCGUAAAACUCUGUUAUUAGGGAAGAACAAAUGUGUAAGUAACUAUGCACGUCUUGACGGUACCUAAUCAGAAAGCCACGGCUAACUACGUG
Molecule: ribosomal RNA, 497 nt
Filed under: uncultured bacterium
Lineage: Bacteria
Description: partial 16S ribosomal RNA
Rfam family: Bacterial small subunit ribosomal RNA
Source: RNAcentral